This 207-nucleotide ribosomal RNA is filed under the name uncultured bacterium. RNAcentral's name for it is "partial 16S ribosomal RNA". It matches the Rfam family "Bacterial small subunit ribosomal RNA", at positions 568 to 774 of the family's 1533-position model. The record is from RNAcentral.
UUAGUAGGUGGCCGACUAAGUCAGACGUGAAAUCCCUCAGCUUAACUGGGGAACUGCGUCUGAUACUGGCCGGCUCGAGUGCAGGAGAGGAAUGCGGAAUUCCAGGUGUAGCGGUGAAAUGCGUAGAUAUCUGGAGGAACACCGGUGGCGAAGGCGGCAUUCUGGACUGCAACUGACACUGAAUAACGAAAGCCAGGGGAGCAAACG